RNAcentral lists this transfer RNA (74 nucleotides) under Candidatus Tritonobacter lacicola. RNAcentral describes it as "tRNA-Gly". It matches the Rfam family "tRNA". Rfam says of the family: Transfer RNA (tRNA) molecules are approximately 80 nucleotides in length. Their secondary structure includes four short double-helical elements and three loops (D, anti-codon, and T loops). The record is from RNAcentral. Lineage: Bacteria; Pseudomonadati; Candidatus Auribacterota; Candidatus Tritonobacteria; Candidatus Tritonobacterales; Candidatus Tritonobacteraceae.
GCGGGAGUCGCACAAUGGUAGUGCACCGGCCUUCCAAGCCGGCUAUGCGGGUUCGAGCCCCGUCUCCCGCUCCA